GGACUACCGGGGUAUCUAAUCCUGUUUGCUCCCCACGCUUUCGUGUCUCAGCGUCAGUACUCGUCCAGUUGGCCGCCUUCGCCGCCGGUGUUCCUCUCGAUAUCUACGAAUUUCACCUCUACACCGAGAAUUCCGCCAACCUCUCCGGUACUCAAGCUGCGCAGUAUCGGGUGCACUUCCCGGGUUGAGCCCGGGGAUUUCACAUCCGACUUGCGUAGCCGCCUACACACGCUUUACGCCCAGUAAUUCCGAACAACGUUUGCACCCUCUGUCUUACCGCGGCUGCUGGCAC
Molecule: ribosomal RNA, 292 nt
Filed under: uncultured bacterium
Lineage: Bacteria
Description: partial 16S ribosomal RNA
Source: RNAcentral